Streptomyces sparsogenes DSM 40356 is the source of this 58-nucleotide regulatory RNA element. It matches the Rfam family "L17-Actino-Proteobacteria ribosomal protein leader". The record is from Rfam. Lineage: Bacteria; Bacillati; Actinomycetota; Actinomycetes; Kitasatosporales; Streptomycetaceae.
CCGGCGGGCGCUCCUGCCCGUCGGUGACUGACACCGGUACCUCAUACGGCCGGUGCAG